Lingula anatina is the source of this 1045-nucleotide long non-coding RNA. The record is from RefSeq and is a predicted model, not a curated record. Lineage: Eukaryota; Metazoa; Brachiopoda; Lingulata; Lingulida; Lingulidae.
CACCGGGUAAACGGACACAGAUCGGCUUUCCUUUCCAAAAAAUUAGACGCCGCAUUACCGACUUAAAAAGAUGUCCCAAGUAACGUCAACCGAGUGUAUCAUCCAAAAGUAUGCCCUAGACGUUUUCCAAAAAACUAAAGACAAGAAGCAGAAGAAAAUCUCACCGCAGUCUCUGCAUUUCCAAAUACGUUGGAAAAACUCGCCGCCCCAUACUAAAGAAGAAACCAAUGGCCAUUUAAAACACCCCGAGUCCAAGUCCUUCACAAUUAAUGACUUGGUGGCCCACAAGGAAGACAGGGUGGUCAUUACGGUCACCGAUGAGGACCAUCGUUUCCUCAAAACUAUUGAGGGAAACGUGGCAGACAUUUUGAAGUACUCAGAGUCCCAGUCUGACAAAUCUUAAAUGAGGACCAAAGUAGUUUUGUGUGGAGCAAAAUUAGGAAAGAACUUCAAGUGCAGAAUUGACACAAACAGUCUUUCUCCCGGUGGAAAGUAAACACACAACGAAUAUAAUAAGUGAACAAUCAACUAAAUUCUCUCUCAGAUAAGAUUUAAUCAAAAUUUAGCUAUAUUUCAUUGGAUUAAUGAAAGUGAAUUCUUGUAUACUGUGACAUUCAAAAUUGGAAUAUAAAAUGAAAAAUUUGUCUGAAAUAGAAAAAGAUACCCCACUGACUUAUACACAGAUCAGAACACAAGAGGACUACAGUGAAAGAAACAAAUGCAUGACCAUUGUAAGGUUGAGGUACACUAAGCUUUUGCCUCCAAUUGAAUUGUGCCAUAUUUAUUCAACUUAUGAGCUAGAUUUACCCAUGGGUGUGUUUUUGGUGACUUGUCUCACUAUUCAACAACAGCCUUCGGGUCUGAAAUGUCUCAUUUAACUUGACUACUAGUAAAUCAUAUAUUGUCAUAAAGGCACCUAAAAGACAACUAAAAUUGUGAACAUGCAAUACCGUUCUAAAAUGCCAUAAAACUGAUGGCUAAUAUUUUGUCAAGUUAAAUUCAUUCUUUUGCACUACUGUAAUAAAUAUAUAUCUUUUGAAAGCAA